CGAACGAAGCCUUCGGGCUUAGUGGCGGACGGGUUAGUAACGCGUGGGAACGUGCCUUUCACUACGGAAUAGUCCUGGGAAACUGGGUUUAAUACCGUAUACGCCCUUCGGGGGAAAGAAUUUCGGUGAAAGAUCGGCCCGCGUUAGAUUAGGUAGUUGGUGGGGUAAUGGCCUACCAAGCCUACGAUCUAUAGCUGGUUUUAGAGGAUGAUCAGCAACACUGGGACUGAGACACGGCCCAGACUCCUACGGGAGGCAGCAGUGGGGAAUCUUAGACAAUGGGGGCAACCCUGAUCUAGCCAUGCCGCGUGAGUGAUGAAGGCCUUAGGGUCGUAAAGCUCUUUCGCCAGGGAUGAUAAUGACAGUACCUGGUAAAGAAACCCCGGCUAACUCCGUGCCAGCAGCCGCGGUAAUACGGAGGGGGUUAGCGUUGUUCGGAAUUACUGGGCGUAAAGCGCGCGUAGGCGGAUCAGAAAGUUGGGGGUGAAAUCCCGGGGCUCAACCCCGGAACUGCCUCCNAAAACUACUGGUCUUAGAGUUCGAG
RNAcentral lists this ribosomal RNA (544 nucleotides) under Donghicola sp. RNAcentral describes it as "bacterial SSU rRNA". It matches the Rfam family "Bacterial small subunit ribosomal RNA", at positions 63 to 653 of the family's 1533-position model. The record is from RNAcentral. Lineage: Bacteria; Pseudomonadati; Pseudomonadota; Alphaproteobacteria; Rhodobacterales; Roseobacteraceae.